UUCGCAAAGUUGCUGUCCAAACGAGACAUGGCACAUUUUAUGAACUUAAUAUCGGCACAAUCUGGUUAGACUAUUUGGAUCAUCUAUAUUUCUACUCACUUAGUGAUGUAUUAAUGUACACUCAGAGCAAGCAAUGCUGACUGACAUUCCGGCGAACCCCCUGAAUCCCACCUUGCACUGGCCCAGGGCACCCAACUAUGGAAAGCGAAACAAGCAGCAGGCCUCUGCCCCACCCCAUCCCCCCUCGGAGCCCCAACAGCGCAGCUCGUCCCAGCGCAGCUGCUUCCUGGGCGUGGAGACGUGGGCGGAGCUUGUGUGGGAGCGCUGGGAGCCGGGCGCC
Molecule: long non-coding RNA, 340 nt
Organism: Sardina pilchardus (European sardine)
Lineage: Eukaryota; Metazoa; Chordata; Actinopteri; Clupeiformes; Clupeidae
Exons: 3
Source: RefSeq, a predicted model, not a curated record